UUCCCCCUCAUUAGGCCUAUGGAAAACUAAUAACAGGAAAAGUGACACUUUAAUCUCCCUUGCUCUCACGCUAAUUGUCUCCGUCCUGUAAACUGUCUCUCAACAAGAACCCUUUGUAGGCUACCGAAAAUGGGUACAAACGAGAUUAUCCAGACUGCAUAAAGUAUCCAAACCGCCAGAUAUGCAAACAGAGGUGGCAUAAACCAUAAGUAAUUUGCAGUUUGUAUUGCCUCAAGCCCGAUUCCAUGAAUAGACUUACGACUUCACUAAACAAACACUUUGACAGUAUCUACUGUAAUGCAUUUCAUUAUGUACCGGAUAGGAGCAAACUUUUAACUACCGUGGCGAAGCAACUUUUUUUUAAGCCUGGCGAAAACCAUUCUGGAAGAACAGACUGCAUGUGAAUCAGUAGACUGCGAGAAGCCACCUAUGGACAAGCGUGCGCUUUGGUUUUUGGAAAUCCCGGGCUUUGCUGCACGAGCGUCAAAGAUCAGCAUGGACUUGAAAUGAAAGCUAUUGAAUGAGCCGUAUGUGAAAGUGGUCUAUAAAGUUUAGCUUUUUUUAUUUGUUGUUGCCGAAUUACUACUACACGUUUGAUUAAUAUCACCAAAGGAUACCAGACUGAAGACGGAAAUUCGAGGGAACGUUUCUUUCUGGUAGACUACCAAUCGAGGGAGCGAUGAACUCCUCGGCAGGUGCAGGGAACUACCGAAGGGGCUCCACCAAGGGAGAGAAGAGGUCAUUCUGGGUCAUCCUUUCCCGUGGCGGUCCUCAUAAGAGCCAGUUUCAUCAGAGCGCUUGAUGGUUUUUGCAACUGCACUUGAAGAAACUUUCAAAGUUCUUGACAUUUUCCGGAUUGACU
This 862-nucleotide long non-coding RNA is filed under the name Salmo salar (Atlantic salmon). RNAcentral describes it as "lncRNA (ENSSSAG00000084494.1)". The record is from RNAcentral. Lineage: Eukaryota; Metazoa; Chordata; Actinopteri; Salmoniformes; Salmonidae.